This 318-nucleotide ribosomal RNA is filed under the name Triticum aestivum (bread wheat). Its description in RNAcentral is "partial small subunit ribosomal RNA". Lineage: Eukaryota; Viridiplantae; Streptophyta; Magnoliopsida; Poales; Poaceae. The record is from RNAcentral.
CAUGGUGCAGUGGAGGUAGAUGUCCAUGACGACUGUACUAGGGCCAACUUGGCAUUGCAGUGCCUGUCCAGCUUGUUCGCUGUGCUGUGUUCUCGCAAAUAUAUUUCUAUUGUAUGUUUAUUCGUCGUGCAUUUUGAUUUACCAGGACAACCAGAUUCAUGUUUAUCUCGCAUCAUCUGUUUCCUUGCAGCCCAAUCAUGGUUCCGGUUUCUACAGCGCAGCGACUGGGAGAUACUCAUAAUGGACGCCAUCCUUGACGUCCGCACCGAAGAUGGGAAGCACCACACAAUGAGGGUGACGGUCGCAGACAACACGGCA